CCUACGGGUGGCAGCAGUAGGGAAUCUUCCACAAUGGGCGAAAGCCUGAUGGAGCAACGCCGCGUGGGUGCAGAAGGCCCUCUGAUCGUAAAACCCUGUUUGUAGAGAAGUAAGUGCGUGAGAGUAACUGUUCACGUUUCGACGGUAUAUAUACAGAUAGGCACGGCCAAUUCCGGGCCAGCAGCUGCGGUAAUACGUAGGAGGAUAGCGUUAUCCUGAUUUAUUUGGCGUAAAGGGAACGGAGGCUGUCUUUUAAGUCUGAUGUGAAAGCCUUCGGCUUAACCGGAGUAGUGCAUUGGAUACUGGUAGACUUGAGUGCAGUAGAGGUAAGUGGAACUCAAUGUGUAGCGGUGAAAUGCGUAGAUAUAUGGCAGAACACCGAUGGCGAAGGCAG
This 394-nucleotide ribosomal RNA is filed under the name uncultured bacterium. RNAcentral describes it as "partial 16S ribosomal RNA". It matches the Rfam family "Bacterial small subunit ribosomal RNA", at positions 338 to 724 of the family's 1533-position model. The record is from RNAcentral.